RNAcentral lists this ribosomal RNA (300 nucleotides) under uncultured Bacillus sp. Its description in RNAcentral is "bacterial SSU rRNA". The stretch from base 52 to 300 matches the Rfam family "Bacterial small subunit ribosomal RNA", at positions 547 to 795 of the family's 1533-position model. Lineage: Bacteria; Bacillati; Bacillota; Bacilli; Caryophanales; Bacillaceae. The record is from RNAcentral.
GGUAGUCGUGGACCGGUCGCGGGGGUAAUGCGGAUGUGCGUAGUGUGGUUUGGAAUGACUGGGCGUAAAGCGCGCGUGGGAGGCAAGGCAUGUGGGGCGGGAAAGGCCUGUGCGCAACCUGGGAACUGCGCUUCAGACUGCACGGCUUGAGUCCGGGGGAGGGUGGUGGAAUUCCCAGUGUAGAGGUGAAAUUCGUAGAGAUCGGGAGGAAGGCCGGUGGCGAAGGCGGCGCUCUGGAACACACCUGACGCUGAGACACGAAAGCGUGGGGAGCAAACAGGAUUAGAUACCCCAGUAGUC